AAAUGGAUUGUGAUAACAAAGCUACGCUAGGCAACGUGCUCCGCUCAUGUCUGUUCCCACUGGGCACAGACGUCACAUCAACGACUAUUCCACGUUGGUUCAACGUAAUAACAUUGAAAACGACUUGGAAACAACGUUGAUUCAACCAGAGUGCCCAGUGGGAUAUAUGGAAUGUCAUCCGUUUUGCUAAUUAAAACUUAAACAGCACUGCGGUUCAGCAGUGAUGUUAUGCGCUCAGGAAGCCUGCUGAUGGGCUUCUCCACACUCAUUGGUAGCUUUAGGCCCCCAGGGGAAGGCUGACAAACAGGGCUGCAGGGGCAGAGACAGUUUGCUGUCUUGGAGAGAUGAAAACUUCACUAACGUCUUAAGUCAGAGCCGUGGGAAAGAUACAGUCAUCUGGUGGCGAUGAACCGUAACGCACGGCGACGGGAAAGAAACUGCGCGACCAGAGAAACUCGACCUGCACUCAACAUUUUCCUUCCUUGGGAGAACAGAUACGUAUCUCUAUCGCUCUUUCUCGCCCCCUCCCUCCACCCUCUCUCGUAGACUUUCUAAGAUACAGCGUCUGAAUUCAGAUGCGGUGCACUUCCAAGGCGAGCAUCAGCAUCACUACAGAGACUCUGGCUCGGAUAAAAUCGGAAGAGCGCGUUUUUGUCCUCGGUUAUUUUCGAUUCAUCUAGUUGAUUAGACCCCCCCCACACACACACACACACUCCCCAUAUCACCCCAAUACAUCAGUCGUCGGAAUUAUAGCUGCCUCCCUACAGCUCUCCCCUUGGCUUCCCCUUUCUUCAAACCGAACAGAAUUUAUGUGUAUUUGCCGCAUGAGGACGUCCAAGCAUUGGAACUCAGUUGCUGGGGGUGCAGCGAUUCAGCCUGCCGCUUGUUCCGCGCCGGAGACAUGAAUCUACCAUAACGGAAUUCGCGUUCCCUGUCAAAAUCGGAUAAAUCAAAACUGUUUGUUUGCCGCCUCGUGGGGGUUAUAUUUCGUUUCUGCUGGUCAAUAACUGUCGUCAAGUGAAUAGCUGUUAUCGCCAUCGCUUCAAUUCCAAACUGGAGGAGUCGUGAUCAACGGGAAUGAAAUUGAGAAAAUCGUCCGCGGGUUGGAGGACGGGGCUGAGUUUAGGUCGGGAACUACGAGUCUAGAUAUUUCUAACUUUGUGCGCAAGACUUUCUCUUUCUAUAUGGACCGAUCAACAUCACUGGAUAUCGAGGCUCUGAAGGAGUAGGAAGGAUCGGACCAAUAUGCAGCGUGGUAAGUGUUUGUCAUUUUAUUAAACUGAACUGAACACUACAAUACAAAGUAAACAAAAAGUACAACCGAAACAGUUCCGUCUGGUAACUAAUACUAAGACAGAAAACAACUACCCACAAAUCAUAGUGGGAAAACAGGCUGCCUAAGUAUGUCUCUGAUUGAGAACCAACGAUAAACAGCUGGAACUAAGGUCAGGACGUGACAGUACCCCCCAAAGGUGCGGACUCCGGCUGCAAAACCUAAGCCCAUAGGGGAGGGUCUGGGUGAGCAUCUGUCCGCGGGAUGUGGACCCCACUCCACCAUAGUCUUGGCCCACUUAAGUGGUGACUUUGGAGCGGCGACCCUUGCCGCCGACCACGGACUGGAGGCCCUUACAGCGGGCCCCAAAUAGGCGGGAGAC
This is a long non-coding RNA of Oncorhynchus tshawytscha (Chinook salmon), 1655 nucleotides long. The record is from Ensembl. Lineage: Eukaryota; Metazoa; Chordata; Actinopteri; Salmoniformes; Salmonidae.